UGGGGAAUCUUGGACAAUGGGGGCAACCCUGAUCCAGCCAUGCCGCGUGAGUGAUGAAGGCCUUAGGGUCGUAAAGCUCUUUCGCCUGUGAAGAUAAUGACGGUAGCAGGUAAAGAAACCCCGGCUAACUCCGUGCCAGCAGCCGCGGUAAUACGGAGGGGGUUAGCGUUGUUCGGAAUUACUGGGCGUAAAGCGCGCGUAGGCGGUUUGGUAAGUCAGAUGUGAAAGCCCCGGGCUCAACCUGGGAACUGCAUUUGAUACUGCCUGACUAGAGUAUGGUAGAGGGAAGUGGAAUUCCACAUGUAGCGGUGAAAUGCGUAGAGAUGUGGAGGAACACCAGUGGCGAAGGCGGCUUCCUGGCUCGAUACUGACGCUGAGGUGCGAAAGUGUGGGGAGCAAACAGGAUUAGAUACCCUGGUAGUCCACACCGUAAACGAUGAAUGCCAGUCGUCGGGUAGCAUGCUAUUCGGUGACACACCUAACGGAUUAAGCAUUCCGCCU
This 501-nucleotide ribosomal RNA is filed under the name uncultured bacterium. RNAcentral describes it as "bacterial SSU rRNA". It matches the Rfam family "Bacterial small subunit ribosomal RNA", at positions 355 to 874 of the family's 1533-position model. The record is from RNAcentral.